This 734-nucleotide ribosomal RNA is filed under the name Streptomyces sp. D182. RNAcentral's name for it is "bacterial SSU rRNA". It matches the Rfam family "Bacterial small subunit ribosomal RNA", at positions 39 to 790 of the family's 1533-position model. The record is from RNAcentral. Lineage: Bacteria; Bacillati; Actinomycetota; Actinomycetes; Kitasatosporales; Streptomycetaceae.
GCGGCGUGCUUACACAUGCAAGUCGAACGAUGAACCACUUCGGUGGGGAUUAGUGGCGAACGGGUGAGUAACACGUGGGCAAUCUGCCCUGCACUCUGGGACAAGCCCUGGAAACGGGGUCUAAUACCGGAUACUGAYCMKCUURGGCAUCYUGGMKGWUCGAAAGCUCCGGCGGUGCAGGAUGAGCCCGCGGCCUAUCAGCUWGUUGGUGAGGUAAUGGCUCACCAAGGCGACGACGGGUAGCCGGCCUGAGAGGGCGACCGGCCACACUGGGACUGAGACACGGCCCAGACUCCUACGGGAGGCAGCAGUGGGGAAUAUUGCACAAUGGGCGAAAGCCUGAUGCAGCGACGCCGCGUGAGGGAUGACGGCCUUCGGGUUGUAAACCUCUUUCAGCAGGGAAGAAGCGAAAGUGACGGUACCUGCAGAAGAAGCGCCGGCUAACUACGUGCCAGCAGCCGCGGUAAUACGUAGGGCGCGAGCGUUGUCCGGAAUUAUUGGGCGUAAAGAGCUCGUAGGCGGCUUGUCACGUCGGUUGUGAAAGCCCGGGGCUUAACCCCGGGUCUGCAGUCGAUACGGGCAGGCUAGAGUUCGGUAGGGGAGAUCGGAAUUCCUGGUGUAGCGGUGAAAUGCGCAGAUAUCAGGAGGAACACCGGUGGCGAAGGCGGAUCUCUGGGCCGAUACUGACGCUGAGGAGCGAAAGCGUGGGGAGCGAACAGGAUUAGAUACCCUGG